Molecule: ribosomal RNA, 220 nt
Filed under: uncultured Glomus
Lineage: Eukaryota; Fungi; Glomeromycota; Glomeromycetes; Glomerales; Glomeraceae
Description: partial small subunit ribosomal RNA
Rfam family: Eukaryotic small subunit ribosomal RNA
Source: RNAcentral
CCAAUAGCGUAUAUUAAAGUUGUUGCAGUUAAAAAGCUCGUAGUUGAAUUUCGGGACCAGUAUGUUGGUCGUGCUUCGGUACGUACUGUCAUUACUGGUUUCUCCCUUCUGAAGAACCUUUAUGUCAUUAAUUUGGUGUCUUGGGGAAUCAGGACUGUUACUUUGAAAAAAUUAGAGUGUUUAAAGCAGGCAUACGCUUGAAUACAUUAGCAUGGAAUAA